Molecule: ribosomal RNA, 450 nt
Filed under: uncultured bacterium
Lineage: Bacteria
Description: partial 16S ribosomal RNA
Rfam family: Bacterial small subunit ribosomal RNA
Source: RNAcentral
GUGGGGAAUAUUCCGCAAUGGACGAAAGUCUGACGGAGCAACGCCGCGUGAGUGAUGAAGGUUUUCGGACUGUAAAGCUCUGUUGUUUAGGACGAAAGUGCCUGUUGCAAACAGUUACAGGUAUUGACGGUACUAAACGAGGAAGCCACGGCUAACUACGUGCCAGCAGCCGCGGUAAUACGUAGGUGGCAAGCGUUGUCCGGAAUUAUUGGGCGUAAAGAGCAUGUAGGCGGGAAUCUAAGUCUGUUGUGAAAAUGCGGGGCUCAACCCCGUAUUGCGAUGGAAACUGGGUUUCUUGAGUGCAGGAGAGGAAAGGGGAAUUCCCAGUGUAGCGGUGAAAUGCGUAGAUAUUGGGAGGAACACCAGUGGCGAAGGCGCCUUUCUGGACUGUGUCUGACGCUGAGAUGCGAAAGCCAGGGUAGCGAACGGGAUUAGAAACCCCGGUAGUCC